RNAcentral lists this small RNA (243 nucleotides) under Oryza sativa Japonica Group (Japanese rice). RNAcentral's name for it is "misc RNA OSJNBb0060J21.29". The record is from RNAcentral. Lineage: Eukaryota; Viridiplantae; Streptophyta; Magnoliopsida; Poales; Poaceae.
AUGGAACUGAUCCUCCGGGUUGUGCUUCUGUCUUGAUGCACACAACCUUCCCCUUUCCUGAUCGUGUUUGCUCACUGAAUCCUUUAAAUCUCAGAAACGCCUUCAUUUGUUUUUUCUUCUUUUCUUUCUUUUUUGUCUUUAGGCGUACAAUAAUAUGUGCUUUUUAGGCGUACAAAUAAUGUUGUGCUGUGCAAGCCCCUGUAUCGUUCUGUCAAUAUUAAAGCUGGAAUAGUUUCUACUACC